This is a long non-coding RNA of Carassius auratus (goldfish), 3138 nucleotides long. RefSeq lists it as uncharacterized. Lineage: Eukaryota; Metazoa; Chordata; Actinopteri; Cypriniformes; Cyprinidae. The record is from RefSeq and is a predicted model, not a curated record. The transcript has 3 exons.
GAGAGGAGAUGGGAACCUGCUCCUCAGCACACAAACACACAUUUGCUUUUCAUUGGAUAGUACCUAGUCUCUUGAACAAAAUAGCAUAUUGUCCACUAUGAUGUGUUAUAUAUAUAGAUAUACACGACUCAAACGUGCCACCUUUUGAUGUUUUGAGAUGUUGACAAGUAUGACAGGUCCAGGAUUGAUGCACCCAUUCUGCAGCUGUGUAGUGUGCACACCAACACGACUGAAAAACAAGUCGAUCACUGUGUGCACGGUGAUGGUCUUUGACAGCACUUCCCAACCGUUGACGGAAUUUUCCAGCUUUUCGUGUUUUCACUGUUAUAUGCACAUAACAGGUAUUAGGCACUGUUACACAUCUUCUGAAAGACUACUAAAUCUCUGACUCAAACACGGGCGAAGAAGAAGCAGGAACAAGCGAACGGUUGGCCAGAGCUGUCAAAUCCUGCUGCUGGAAGACCAACAUCCUGUAGGUCUUAGCUCCAACAAGCUCCAACACACUUACAAUUCUGAAGACCUCAAUUAGCUGGUUUGGAAUCAGAGCUAAACUCUGCAGGACAGUGGCCCUCCAGGAAAUAGUUUGGACACCCCUGAUGUAGGCUUUGGGAUUUGGGUUGUGUUUAAGCAUGACAUUUGUAAUUGCAGCUUAUUCAUCUCAUGGGUCUUAUAGGCCAUCUCUAGACUUGAAGACUUGCUGUGAAGAACUGAAUUGCUCUAGAACUUAGCAUUUCUGGAGAUGCGGUUCUUGAGUGCUGUUAGAUGUGUAAUUGUGUAAUCGGAAGGAAGCACUCUGCUGGCAGGAAGACAGAGCACUGCAGGGACGGCAGGAAAUAGAUGGGCCACUUCCACCCGCUCAGCAUUUCAGUGUGGGUUUUGCCUUUUUAUUGGCCAUGACAUCAUGAUAGAUAAUCACAGAGGAGGUUACAUGGACUUUUUGUGAGAGAUGUAUUUGUUGUUUCUGGUUUAGUUGCAUCAGGGCCAAAAUAAAUGAUGCUGCACUAACAAACAAACAAAUGGGCUGGUAAAGAAAUAACACAGGUUGGUAGUUCUGGUGAUGAAUACAGUUUCUCUGCAGAUAGAUAUCUUUUAAUAUUCAUUCAGAACUUCAUUUGCAAAAAAUAUUGUUAAAGUAUAAGGCCAAACCCAAUUCACACUCAUCGCAACCUUAUACCAGACUCACAGUUCUAACCAAAAUAGAUAAAUUCAUACCAAUUUAAUUGAAUCCUUUCUUCAAAAUGACACUCAUAAACAGCCAACAAUGCUUGUUAACUUGCCAGUCUAGUCGGCUUCUGAGAACCGAGCGUAUUUCUAAAAAUUAAUAAUAAUAAUUUAGCUGAACUGAAAUUUUGCAGUCUUUCCAUAUUAAAGAUUAAGAGCAAACGCUUAAAUCAGGCAGCUUUAAACAGAAUCCUUCAACUUAAAAAAAAAAAAAAACACACACAGACCUGCAACAGUCGCUUUAAUUCAAUCACAACUGCAAGUCAACAAACAAUCGUGCAAUUUGUUACUUUUCGGUUGAAGGCAUUAAAUAGAUGUUAAUAAAUGAUUUCUGCAUUAUGCAGCUGUUUCUCGAAUGUUACUGAUUCUGUGAUUUCUCUUCAUUGGAAUGUUUUACAGAGCUGAUUCUGUCACAACGCUGAUAUUUCUGUGGACUCUAGACCGAAUGCCUGCAGGCUGGUAUGCGUGUAUUGAUCGGCUUUAUCAUCCCUUCUGGGAAAAAUAACAUCUCUGUGGCACAAAGACACACAAGCUGUGCAUGUGUGCCUCAGUCUCGGAGAGCGACAUACAUCUCUCUGUCUCACAGGAAUGCACGACUGGCAGUAUCAUUUAACUCUCUACACACUAUUUUAUGGUUUUGUAUCAAAUGAAACAAACCAUCUUAUCUGUAAUGAUGAUUUUAGAUCUGAGAAGACAUUAUAUCAUAAUUCUUUGUUAAACAUUGAAUGCAGAGGCUAAAAUUAACAAAGAGCAACACAAAAGUACACCCAAAAAUAAAAAAAGAAAACUAUCUUUCUUACCCUGAUGUCAUCGCAAAUCUGUAUGAGGCUAUUUCUUUUUUUGAUGGAACACAAACAUUCUAUUCAUAUAUCAUGGUCAGGGGUGUGUAGUUCUGAACCAAAUCUGUUGAAGUAUUAAUCAUUUAGCUUGAACGUGUGUUUGUUUAAUAUUUAUUUUGAGAAUCAAGAUGGGUUUCUUUUUUAAUCUCCCAAAUUUCUCCCCAAUUUAGUAUUCUCAAUCAACAUACAUUAUAUUACACACAUAUAUUAAAUAUUUUUUGUAUGAUAUCUAUAUUUUUUAUGAAUUCCUGCAUUAUACGAGUAAUGUAGAAAUGUGUGCUUUUUGCCAUAACUAUUGUGUGCAUAUAGUUAUAACAGAAUAAGAUUGCUAAUUGAAUGCAAAAUUUGGAAUAUAACACACACAACCUAUGCGUUUUAUUCUCUUUUUUUACUAAAAUUUUAGCUAUGGUGUAUUUCUCAGACUUGGCAGCUCACAAAAGAAGUUGACCCCCUGAGAGUGAGAAACUUUUACUUCUUGCGGUCUUCAGUGUGUUUACCUGCCACUAGUUGUUUUAGUAGAGCUUUAACCACCACACAGAUUAUCUGAACAAUGGAGAACAAUGAGUGCUGUGAUAGCAGCAUUUCCCAGAGUUUGCUCAGAGACACCUGUGGGCAGAACACUCACAUAAAUUUGAGGAUGUGUGCUACCGAUGACAGAUCCAUCAGAGUCUCGUUUUCUCAGCAGGAAAGUUUCUGCAUGCAGGCGAGCGACCGGAUGAUAAUUUAUCUCCAGGGCUUUGUAGGUAAUUGUUUGGAAAACUGAUUUUCUAAACACUUUUGGCACACGGGAAUGCUCUGUGGUUUCCAAGUGCUCUGCUGCGAGAGGGACUGAAAAAAAAAAUCCUUAUUCACUUUGUCAAAAAUAAUAAAUUAUUCCUCCUGUCCCAUCAUUUGACUUUAAAUUGCAUACUUAUGUACCCUGACAAAUUUGAGCACAGAUUAAUGUUAAUAAGAUUUCUAGAGACAACAUUUGAGAUACUUGGGUCUUUUUCUUGAGUAAAAAUCAAAGAACUAGGAAGUCUAAGCAAGAAUUCCUUUUUUCUCACAUUAUUAUUACAAUAUUAACUGUUAUAAUUAA